UCAUAUCCAUAACACCUGUGCACUUGUCGGAUGGCUUAGUGAAGACCGCAAGGUUGAAUCUAUCCAUCUACUUUACAUAACAAUUCUGUAACAAAUGUAGUCUUAUUAUAACAUAAUAAAACUUUCAACAACGGAUCUCUUGGCUCUCGCAUCGAUGAAGAACGCAGCGAAAUGCGAUAAGUAAUGUGAAUUGCAGAAUUCAGUGAAUCAUCGAAUCUUUGAACGCACCUUGCGCUCCUUGGUAUUCCGAGGAGCAUGCCUGUUUGAGUGUCAUGAAAACCCUCAACCCUAGAUUGGUUAAAACCUUUCUUUGGUUUGGAUUUGGACGUUUGCCGAUGAUAAGUCGGCUCGUCUUAAAAGUAAUAGCUGGAUCUGUCUCGCGACAUGGUUUGACUUGGCGUAAUAAGUAUUUCGCUAAGGACAUCUUCGGAUGGCCGCGUUGCAGGACUAAAGACCGCUUUCUAAUCCAUUGAUCUUCGGAUUAAUACUCUUGACAUCUGGCCUCAAAUCAGGUAGGACUACCCGCUGAACUUAAGCAUAUCAAUAAGCGGAGG
This 554-nucleotide ribosomal RNA is filed under the name Naganishia albida. Its description in RNAcentral is "eukaryotic LSU rRNA". The stretch from base 120 to 273 matches the Rfam family "5.8S ribosomal RNA". The record is from RNAcentral. Lineage: Eukaryota; Fungi; Basidiomycota; Tremellomycetes; Filobasidiales; Filobasidiaceae.